RNAcentral lists this ribosomal RNA (255 nucleotides) under uncultured bacterium. RNAcentral describes it as "partial 16S ribosomal RNA". It matches the Rfam family "Bacterial small subunit ribosomal RNA", at positions 524 to 776 of the family's 1533-position model. The record is from RNAcentral.
UACGAAGGGGGCUAGCGUUGUUCGGAAUUACUGGGCGUAAAGCGUGCGCAGGCGGCUUCUCAAGUCAGGGGUGAAAGCCCAGAGCUCAACUCUGGAAUUGCCUUUGAGACUGAGAGGCUCGAGUACGGGAGAGGUGAGUGGAAUUCCCAGUGUAGAGGUGAAAUUCGUAGAUAUUGGGAAGAACACCGGUGGCGAAGGCGGCGACCUGGUCCUUUUACUGACGCUGAGGCGCCGAAAGCGUGGGGAGCAAACAGG